RNAcentral lists this small RNA (1039 nucleotides) under Pyricularia oryzae. RNAcentral's name for it is "Magnaporthe oryzae sRNA M_BR32_EuGene_00132911". Lineage: Eukaryota; Fungi; Ascomycota; Sordariomycetes; Magnaporthales; Pyriculariaceae. The record is from RNAcentral.
AAUUAUUUGGUCGUAAUAUUAAAUUUCCUUUUUUUUAACCAAAUCCCUUUAAUUUUAAAUAAUUGGUAUUUCCCUAAUCCCUAUUUUCUAAUUUUAUUCCUUUUUGGCUAAUCUUUCCGCGUUAUAUCUAACCGCAUAACCAAAUCGAAAUUUGGUCGUUCGUCGACAAAACGUCGCCACGCUUUCCUUUUUUCCUUAUUAUUAACCGAUAUUAUCGAAAUACCUUCCUGCAAUCCCUAUUAUACCAAAAACGUAAUAUUUUAUUAAAUAUUUCCGCAAAAUUUUAUUCGAUAUAUAAAAUACGUUCGUUCCAACCGUUUUGGGUAUAAUAUAUUGGGUUUAUCCGCUGUUUAAAUCCGUUAUAUUGGUCGCUAAUAUUCGAAAUUGGAUGCGGAAAUUAAAACGUUGGAAAAGCAAAUUUAUACGCAACAGGCGAAAUUAUUUCGUUUGCGAAAAUAAAAAAAACUGUAAUUUAAAAAAAUAAUACGGGUUAUAUUUCGCGAAAUUAACGAUUUGGAGGAAUUGGAUCGCGUGGAACGGGAGAAAAUAAAAUAGGAAAAACGGCGGCGAUCGUCCGAAAUUCUUCCUAAAAUAUUAUUCGAAUCGUUUUUUCCGGAUUCCAAUUUUGUUUGGAAUUUGUCUUUUCCGAUAAAUCCUUUAAAUUUUUUUUUAUUGGAUAAAAUAAAUAUUUUUACGCAAUAUUUAAUCGAUAGGUUUUUUAUUCGUUUAUUUUAAUUUAUAAUAUAAAUUAAUUGUUUUUUUUUUGCAAAUUCGUCCAAUAAUAUAAUUUUGGAUUUUAAUUAAUCCUUAAUUUUUGGAAAUAAUAGGUAAUAUUUUUUUAAAUUGUCCUUUUUUUUUAAUUAAUUUGUUCGCAGGUCCAAUUUUUGGUAAUAUUAGCGGAAUAAUUCCUAACAAUUUUGGAAAUGGUUAAGGAAUUCCCAAAUAUUUUUUUCGUAUCCGUAAUUUUCCUAUUUAACAAAAUAUUUUAUUUUACCGUGGUUGCGUUUGUGGUCGAAUAUUUGUUUAACGUUAUAAAUUU